GAUGAACGCUAGCGGGAGGCCUAAUACAUGCAAGUCGAACGGUAACAUUGGGCUUGCCCAGAUGACGAGUGGCGCACGGGUGAGUAACGCGUACGCGACCUGCCCCGGCCGGGGCACAGCUGCGGGAAACUGCAGGUAAUACCCCAUGGUCCUCUGGUGCUUCAUGGCACCUGAGGUAAAGCUAUGGCGGCCGGGGAUGGGCGUGCGUCCGAUUAGGUAGUUGGCGGGGUAACGGCCCACCAAGCCGACGAUCGGUAGGGGGCGUGAGAGCGUGAACCCCCACACGGGUACUGAGACACGGACCCG
Molecule: ribosomal RNA, 306 nt
Filed under: uncultured bacterium
Lineage: Bacteria
Description: bacterial SSU rRNA
Rfam family: Bacterial small subunit ribosomal RNA
Source: RNAcentral